CCCACAGACACGACACUCCGCACAGAUGCACACAAUCACCCAUACGUGCUCAAGCUACCUGAAAGACCUGCUAAUAUCCCUAUACCCUUCUAUUUCCAACAGUUCUCGGUACCUAUUGAAUUUGAAGAUCAAGAAGGAACCCGAAGAAGAAAAGAACAAAGAUGGAGUCAUCAGGAAGAACCUGGAUAGGAUUCAGGUUUCAGCCACUACUCCACUAUCCUCAAACCUAUCCAGGUGCAGCCAAAGUUCCUGCAGAGUCGUCGGUUCGGGCCCAGACGGGUCAAGGCAGGGAUCGAAGCGAGACGGGAGGAGGCGAGAGAAGCUGCACCUGGUCUCGGACAGGAGGACGUUGCGUACGGGAGCUGUACAUCGGUCAGGAGCUGAGCAACCACCUUCGCGAGCCCCGGGCGAUAAGUGCAGUCUCAAGGGGCACGCUGCAGAACAACGGUGGUGGCAUCUCACGGAGCCUGCCGGGCGUCGUGCUGGGACCGUGAUCCCGCCUUCGCGACAGCCCACCCCUAAUGGACAAGCACAAAGUGAAAAGACAGCGGCUGGACAGGAUUUGUGAAGAUGUUUGAGUGCUGCAAAAGAUUUGAAAGUGGACUUUAAUUUACCUUGAACAUUUGUCGUUGCAUGCUAUAACCUUGAAUCACCCUUGUUAAGUGAAUCAGACUUGUGAAGUUGCUAAUUGUUUUUGGAUAUUUUUAGCUAUAUUUGCUACCCACACCUUUUAUUCUGCCCUGGUUUCAAAAACUUAACACUUGUGUUCUGAAAGCUGAGGCUGUUUAUGGUAUUCCAUUUCCUGUCACAUUUACUAUUCUUAUUAAAUGAGAUUUCUACUGGGACAGUUUCUUGUGAAGAUUAAUUUUUGGAUAGCUUCCUGAAUGCUCAUUAUACUGGCUGCAGCACCUGGAAGUUUGUAAAACGGUUGGAUCUGGACAUUUGAUCAUAAAAAAGAAAAAAGAGAAAUGACGAUGCGAGUAAUCCGGUUUUUUGCUGAACUUUGGUUUGCAGCUUUUUGUUGGGCCUUAUUCUGGCUCUUCAAUCGAUAUGCUUUGUGUUUUACAUGAGCAAAUAAAACCCGAGGCUCAGUUGGGGGGGG
This 1102-nucleotide long non-coding RNA is filed under the name Eptatretus burgeri (inshore hagfish). Its description in RNAcentral is "lncRNA (ENSEBUG00000017248.1)". Lineage: Eukaryota; Metazoa; Chordata; Myxini; Myxiniformes; Myxinidae. The record is from RNAcentral.